Bombus terrestris (buff-tailed bumblebee) is the source of this 9591-nucleotide long non-coding RNA. RefSeq lists it as uncharacterized. The transcript is spliced from 11 exons. NCBI's taxonomy places the organism in Eukaryota, Metazoa, Arthropoda, Insecta, Hymenoptera, Apidae. The record is from RefSeq and is a predicted model, not a curated record.
CGUACGUUGAUUCAAGCGGCAAAGAAAACGUACAAUUUUGAAAUUGUGGCGACGCGGAAGAAAUAUAUAUGUGCUUGUCAAGAAUUGCAGGAACAGCGCCAUCGUCUGACGAUGUUGCGCAGGAGUAAAUGAAUGCGUUUCGAGCUUUGUUCUUCUUCGUUAAUCAAUUCGACUAUGCAAUUUUUCAACACAACGAUGAACGAUGGCCAACCGGUUUGAAGGUUAGAUAAAGAAGCUACAGCGGAAAUCAGCGUACAUUAACGAACACAGAGAACUACUGAUGGCGAAUGGCUGCAUUGGCGUAACCAGUCAAUGAUUGAUCGGCUGGAAAUCUCGGCAACGGUAUACCGACCAGAAUUAACCCUUGAGAUACACUUCGUAUGUCUCACGGGCCCUUCAGUCACUUGAAAUUAUCGGCGAGCACGAUUCCUUCGGACAAUCCUUGAAACUCCAAGACACUUCAGCGGCAGCCCGCCAGCGAGCAGCGGCAACCUGCGACUAUGCGGCAUCAGAGUGACGCGCGCCUGUGUGUGUGAGGUCCGCUGGAUGCUUUUUGGUCUCGACAAGCUGCGGCCCACGGACGAGCAUCCCUGCUGCUUCUUAACCUGCGCUGGAGACGAGCCUCGGUUGGGAAAAAUCCUGCCACAGCGGACGUAGUCGCCAGUCACGUUCAAGUUUGUUUGCAACGGAAUAAACAGCCGCUGAUUGGUCGAAGAAGCAACAGAGAGCCGGUCUGCACGCGAGAUGCUCCACCUUCCCCCUUUUUACCGUCGGCUCGUCAUUUUGCGGUUGCGAUGACGAGCUUCCCCCGUGUUCCUCUCGGAGGCUCGCGGAGUCCCACCCUUCGACAGGAGGAAAUCAAACGACGAUGCGAUGGAAUUUAUAUAUUCGUGGAUUUGCUGUAAUGCAGGGAUUGACAAGAGGAUCGUUUCGCUACGUGACAUGGAACUGUGCAAGAUAUCAUCGUGCUAACGUCGCGGCAGAAUAGCGUGAGGAUCGCGAGACAAAGAUGAGUAAAUCGUCAGAAGAAGCUGAAGGAAGAGUUGUGCAAUGAUGGGUCUGCAGGCCACGGCAGGAAAACGUAAACUGGAGGGAGGUGUGGGCUGCAUGGAGUUCGACAUGGAUAUGGGCGAGAGCCCAUCGAAGUUAGGCCGGGUGGAGGGUAGCUGGUGGGCGAUGGAGGAUAGUUACACGCCCCCGCUGAGUCAAACGCCGGCUUCUUAUUACGAUAUGGAAGUGAGUUCGCCCUGCCUGCAGACAAAUCCUUGUCAACCGACAUCGGCAAGUCAGCAGCAACAGCAACAACAUCAGGCGGCACAGCAACAGCAGCAGCAACAGCCGCAGUCGUCGACGCCAACGUCAGCGCCACCGCCGUCUACGGUGGCGCAUCUGCACCAUCAUCCGCAGCACUACUAUCAUCAUCAGCGCGGACCUAGCAGCCCGGUCGGUAACAACGGUUACAGCCAACUGUCGAGGCCUCAGCCGCAGUGGGGCGCACCUCAUCAUUACGAGCCGCCAACGAUACGGCGAGAAGAAAAUGGAAAGAGUUAUUUGGAGCUUGGUUCUAGUUAUCGAGCGAACGAGAGGUGCUGCGAAGGUUCGAGGUCAAGCUGGUGUCGACGAGGUAGAGCGUGUUACAGACAAAGGCGACUAGCCGUUUUAAAUAUUUCGAUGUGCAAGCUGGCGAGGUAUCGCCAAUUUCCGGAUCCGAGCCUUCAUCGAUCGGUUCUCAUCUGCAAUACACUGAGGCAUCUAGAACGCGAGAUGGAGAGGGACAGAAGUCCGCCGCCCAUGGAGCCGGUUAUACCGGCACCGAUUGCUCAACUUCAACCUCCUGAGCAGGGCAGGUUAACACCGUUCCCGAUGCCACCAACGUCUUCGAACGAGACAGACGUCGAUUCCGGCAUCGGCGAUAGCGACGACAGCCGUUCCAUCAAUUGGGGCAGCGUGCUGUCUCUCUCGAGUCAAUCGCCGCUGGAUCCAUUGAACAACAACGAGUUACUGGAUGUCGAUAUCGGCCCAGACCUAGAUUUAGACUUCAUGCCUGGAUGGAAGCUGACGCCCCUGUCCGCGGACGAUAUCCUUAGAAGUACGACGGCGCAGGAACAGCAGCAUCAUCAGCAUCAACAACAUCAUCAUCAUCAACAGCAGCAGCAGCAGCAGCAGCAGCAGCAACAUCUGGCUCCAGCUAGCGGCAGCUGCGCUAGUAGCAAUGUCGGAAACGCCUGCGUCAGCACUGGCAGUAGCAGUAGUACGCACGAAUCGUUAAUGUGCGUUGGAUCAUAGCCCCCGAUUUUGACGUCGAUGAGUCAUCUCAUCGAUUUUUACCCGCUGAUGCCGCAGAGUAAAUAAAAACAAAAAGUGACAAAAAAAAAAAAAAAAAGAAACAAACGCGGCAACAAACUCGCAAAGAACCACAAAUCGCAGAAACGAGGUAACUCGCCCGCCUCUCCGAUAUGUGCGACGCCUGGUCGGCGAUUCUCCAGGAGGUCUUCUUUUUCUUAUUUAUUACCGUUCGUGUCAAUUACGCACCGAUCGAUUAUCUCGGUUACAUUCUACUUGUAGCAUACCGAUAACCAGCAUGGGUGGUCUACCGAUUGUAGGGAAGAGAGAAAGAGAGAGAGAGAGAGAGAGAGAGAGAAAGAGAGAUAGAGAUAAAGAUAAAUAAAGAGAGAAAGGGUACGCGUCGCGUUACCCUGUGUUCGCAGGUGCAGCCGCCACGGAAUUCAUGGCCCAUCGGCAGUGCUUCAAAUGCGAAGCAACCAGAGGUGAUUACAAUUUAUAAACCGACGAGUAAACUCGAUCUCGCCUUGUUCCAAUUAUCCGCUACGAUUCGACCUUUUAUACUUUAUCAGGUUUUCAUUUCGAAUCGUUCGAAUUAAUCGAGACCGUUUUAUGAAACUGUUUACUUCGAAAGUUUUCUACUUUAUAUACAUGUACGCGUUUGAACGUACGAAUUACAUUGGAAAAAUUCGAGUUUUCACGCGAUGGAACAACGCGAGGUCGGGUCCUCUCAUUCGGUCAUCAACAACCACCUCGAAACGAGCAUGGCUAUACUAUAUCGAAACGAUGUGUUUUUGCAGCUGCACCUGCGAAUUCAGCGGCGCAUAUCAGUUCCCGAGUCGCUCGAAAUGUCGUCACCGGCGGCACGUCAGACACGAAAGAGCGAGAAUAGCGUGAUAGAGUAAAACAGAAAAAAAAAGAAAGAAAGAGAAUAGUGAGAGAGCGAAAGAAAGCGAGUGAGAGAGCGACAGGGAAAAGAGAUGUAGAGAGAAAGAGUUGGAAAAGUCUCAGAGCUUUCAAUGUUCACGCCCCCGGGCCGGCGAUAGGACAAGUACAGAGGAUCGGUGGUAACCUUCUCUUCGGCUCCUUAAAACAACGACGAUAAAGCGGCACGAAACCCCGACAGAGACCUACGUAUGCACACAGAAUAUAAUCUAAUUGUUACAUUCGAUAGAAAAGUGUCCUUCUCUUCUUUCUACCGUAUUAACUCUCGCUAUUUUUGUUUCUCUUGUUUUUGGUAACAUCGGCACAGCGUGAUACGCGUAUAUCGCUCGCCUAGCCGGCUGACGUUGAGAACUCUUCGGCGACGUCCGGCGUCGUUCGCGACAGCCAAUCGAAAUGGGGAGUGUCCAUCAUCAUCGAUCGAUGUUUUCUCUUUGGAUUAGAAAGACUAUCCAGCCGACGAUUAAAUUAAUGUCAUACACUCUGACACACUAACGAUACACUUACACGCGUAAGACAUAACCGCCGUGGCCUAUAUCGUACACUGAUACACGUACACGCACCACAUGUACACGCCGUAUACGCUCAUAUACACGUACAUAGAUACUAUACUAUAUGUACAUCAGGAGAGAGAGAGAGAGAGAGAGAGAGUGCGCGCGAGAGAGAGAGAGAGAGAGAGAGAAAGAGAUAUACAGGUUCGUACACGGAAAAGUCGAUAUGGUGCUAGGACGAUCACACCCUGGUGCUUAAUUCUGUACACACAGAGACACAUGUGCGUAAGUUCGCACGGAUCGCCUGCAGUCUUCGUUAAGAAGUCUAGAUACGUCCUGACGUCGUGAACAGGACACACCGUGAUCCAACGUAUUUUCAUCAGGAUUCUUCGUACGAGUUAUACGAAACUGUUUGGCUUGGGCACCUUGAAGGACGUACGAACACUGGAUGAAAAUACGUUGGAUGGAGAGACGCGUAACUGUGUUCUGGCGCACGAUGCUAACAAAUGUACCUGCAUUUUAGAGAUCGGGAUAAAUGUUGGGUCGCUUCGUGUCGUCGCGCGGAGGCCACUGCGCGCCACUGAUCUCUCGUUAAUAAUUAUGUACUAUAAUACUAUUGUAAAAUAGAGAGUGGCCGACGAGCAGUGAACGAACGCGACCAAUGAUUCAUUUGGAACGGUGUGAAACGGUGGGGUUAUUAAGCGAGGAGAUGAAAAAGGUAGAAAGAAAACGAAAGAAAAGAGUAAAAUAAAGUAAAAUAAAACUCGACGAUAUGUACUUCGCGAAGAGGAACGGCGAUCCGCGCGCGAUCUCGUCCUCAACGUCCACUAACUGAAACCCAGCAGAGCAGCUAUACUUAAAUCGAAGAUAAGCAAAUGUGUAAAGCAAAUCUAUGAAGAAGCGACAAAGCGAAUAUAAGAAAAAGUAAUUUAUAAAUCGACUGAUUUACCUUGCGAGAUAGCGGACAAAGAAAGAAAGAAGACGGAAGAAGAUUCAAGUAACGAAGAAAAGGAAGCUCUAGCCGGCAACGUUUCGUCACACGAAUUCAUUUAUACUGUAAUUAAUUGAGUGUUAAGCCGACGAUGAUGUAUACACUUACACGCGACACGUACCGUUACAGCAAACUCAUACGUACACGCGCCACACUUCUGUACGACACAAAUGGACACGUCUAUACACGAGAUACGCUAGAUACUUGGAUGUAUAUAGAGGUACAACACUACGUGCUAAGCGUAAUAAUGAUUAAUACGAACCGUUUUCAGUUUUUCGUUCCUCUUCCGAUAAUCGUUUCUUUCUUUCGUUUUCCAUCAUUCUCCAUCAUCGUAUUACCAAUUUCGAAUCUUUUUCUGGCUCUCGCGCGUUUCAUCGACGCCUUUCUCCACUCGAUUCGACGCCGUUAUCCCGCGUUGCUUUCCGCUACGCUAAUCGCCUCGCCUCUAUCCGUUUCGUUCAUUCGUUCCUCGCUUAUUUCCUACGAAGAAAACAACGAGUAAUAUUACUUGAACGGCGCGCAGAAUCUAGGAGAAGAACGCGUACGCGUGCAUCGAUCUCGAGCGGUUCGCCAACUUUCCUCGAAACGGCCAAUGAGAACAUCGUUCUUCCUGGUCGUCGUACACGGCGAUGUUUGAUCGAACGUUUUGUACAUUCACAACUGUUUAUACUGUGAUCGCAUUGUAAAUAUCAUCGGAAAAACGAAUAUCGUUCGUAAUAGAAAAAAAAAAAAAAAAGAAAAAUUGUGCACGAAUGAAAGGAGUCGUUGGAACCAAAAAGUUGAAUAAAGACUGCGACGUUUAGUUUACGACGAAGAGCGAUAGAAAGUAACAUUUUGCGAUCAAACGUCGGUCAGUAGAUGUAAAGGUGGAAGAAGAGACGUGUUCUCGUGGCUUGUCGCGUCUCUUAGGAUUCCGAAUCGCUCGAGUUCUACCAUCCUAUCUACGACCGCGCGUAAGGUGUUAAAACGCGAGAAACGCAUAUGUACAUGACACACAGACACACAGGCAUACAGAAACAGAUGCACACAGGGAUGAAGCGCGCGUUGCGCGAGAUUACGCUCGGUGCGUAUGUGCGGCGGAGCGUUUUCAGGGAGACGAUCGGUGUCGUUUUCUUGCAUGGUGUACCAAUCGGAACUGGCGUGAACGCACGUGUGACGUACGUACGCGAGAUACAUCAACGUGUGCUACAUCGUUGAAAAAUUCGUCCAUCGCGUUGAUGCAUCUUUCCAAAUACGUAACAUGCCUUUCCGUGUUUUGCGAUCGCAAGCGCUACCUCAUCGGCUUGGUGUUCCGUGACGAGCAGGACGCCUUACAAUUUCACUUUCGAUACACGCUGUACUCGCCGAUAAAACAAAAUUCCAGCCAAUCUACCGGAUAGAUGCGAGAAACGGGCGUUGACUGACGUAUCGAAUUUCGUUAAUACGAAGAAGAGAACCGCGCACUGGUUACGCGUACGCGAACAAAAUACUCAUGCCUCUCGAUCGCAACAUUUUGUAUCCCGUUCGGUCGAGUCGAUCGUUCAACGGAAUGCCAAGCACCGCGUUACGCGACACUAGACUCGCUUCUCGAGAGUGAAAGAAGCGAAAAAGGAAAAAAGAGAAGAAAAAAAGGAACUCGGGAGGCGACAAAAUAAUUUCGUAUUUUUUACACGGAGCAUCGCUGCGCUCGAACGCGACAUUAAGUUACACGCGAUUACACACACACAGUACAUGUACACGUAACGAAGACUCGGUACCGAUGGAGCGACUGCGAGUUCGGCGUUUGAGAAUGGCGAGCGUGUCGAAGAGCGAAAGAGGACGCGAGUUUUUCUUUUCCUUUCCGUUUCUCUUCUCUCUCCUUUUUUUCUUUCUUUUUCUUUUUUUCAAGUCGUGGAUCACGUGACGCAGCUUAGAGAAAAGGAAAAAGCGUGACCGUGCGAGAGAACGACGAUACGAGUUCUAAACGCACGUAUGUUUCGACGAGUGCGUGUUAAUGUUAGAACGUGUUAAAAAGAAAACGAUAAAAAAAGAUGAAUGAUAUAAAAUGGGUGCGCGAGGAACACCUUCUUCCGAUGGCAGGUGCAAGUAAAAAGAAACGAGCAACCGAGAAGGAGAAGACGUGGAGGAAAGGGAGGAUGAAAGGUGAAAAGUUGUAAAUAGUAUAAAUAGUACACGCGCAGAAGUACGUUUAAGCGAAAAUAAAAGAUGAUAUAAUAGGUAUAAUGUGAAGAAAAAUAUACACAUAUAAGAUAUUAUUAUAUAUUAUAUAUAAAUAAGAAGUAUAUAUAUAAGAUUAUUAUGUAUAUUUACCGUGGUAAAUGAUAUACAAAAGCGGUGACGGGGACUCGCGCAAUCUCGUUGUCGUGUUCGGAUGAUGUUGCUGUGAUUCGCGGCUGGCCCACGCAACGAUUUCCUGUUCAAAUUCAUUUCUGCUCGUAACACGCAUAUCCCGCCAGACAUCUCGUUCUCUUUUUCUAACCGCACACACGAAAAAACACCACCACUCCGUUCUUGUCAUCCGUAUUCUACCAUACGAUACAUGCUCUUCCAGAUUGUUUUCACGUGUGUACGCAUCCAAUGUGGAUGAUCGCGUUCGAUCGUCGUACGCAUGUCGCCGCGAAUUCUUUCUUCUCUCAUCGUCCGUCGAUCUUUCCCCUUUCCGUUUCUCGUCACUCGUCGCGUUUAACAAUGAUCAGUCGCGCGUAACGUAUAUAACAACAGCUAGGUACGGACAAGAAUGCAGAGCCGAUAGUCCCGGCAAUGUUGCGUUUCUUCGCUCCUUACGAGACACAGAAGUUGCAUCGUUCUCUGCUUCUUCGAAUUUAUUUAUGUAUACACGGUGGGCUGGUUGUAGAGCGUUUAGUAUCGGGCUUUCUGUGCGCCUGUUCGUUGUUAGCAUGAAAGGGAAAAGAAAAAAGAAAGAGAAAUACAUACGUUUUUGUUAUAUCGUCAUUAUUAUUAUUAUUAUUAUUAUUAUUAUUAUUAUUAUUAUUAUUAUUAUUAUUAUUAUUAUUAUUAUUAUUAUUUUAAAUAUUAAUAAAUGUAAAUUUUAUAUUGUCCUACGAAGAGUUAAUGGAAUUGGGCUGUCGCGAAGACGUACGAUUUAAGUUCCUAUUACCACGAUAUCUAACGAAGAAUUAAUUAAAAGAGCAAUCUACACGAUUAGAACGAACGAGUAAAACGCAGUGGAGCGACAGCAGCGUUCUCGUGUGGGCCACCUUGCGAACGCAACGUCCUCGAAUCCUCCUAUUUCUUUUCUUGUUUUUUCUUUUUUGUGCGAUCACUAUUAUUAUUAUUCUUAUUCUUAUUCUUAUUCUUAUUAUUUUUAUUAUCAUUACUAUUACUAUUACUAUUACUAUUAUUAUUAUUAUUAUUAUUAUUAUUAUUAUUAUCAUUAGCGUUAAUACCAUUAAUAUUAUUGAUACUAUCAACGAUCGAUCGUUUCUAUCGAACGCCUUAACCGAACGCGAAAAGAGAACGGUCAUUUCCUUUCAUUCGGACGAAACGCGAACGAACGAGGCUGUAGGACGCCGCGGCCAGCGUGUGAAAAGCAAAAUGAUAGUCGACGAAAAAAUGAGAAAAAAAAUGAAAAAAGAGGGCGACAGAGGGGAAAGAAGCAGAAACGAGGACGGGUGACGGCAAGCCAGAGAGCCUAGAUCUCUAACGGAUCUCCGAGACUUUACGAGAGUCCCGCCGUGACCGCAAACCUAGGACACGAGGAAAGAACACACAACACUGUACAUUGUAAAUAGUAGCGCGGAGAAGACGGUUACAGAGAAAGACAGAGUUAAUUAAUUAAAAGAUAAAUGAAGGAUAAGAUGAGAUGAGAGAACGAGCGAGCGAACGAGAGAGAGAGAGAGAGAGAGAGAGAGGAAAAAAUGAAGAAAAAGAUGAAUUGGCGCCGGGCGCGUGAAGCGAAUGCACGUUCCCGAGGGAUGUUCGAUUCUAAGGCGAAUACAGUAUGUAGGAAAUUUUAAAAAGAGAGGAAACGAUGGAAAUGCGGUGAAACCGUUUUCCGGUAUCGGAUGAGAUUUUCCAUGGCGAAAAUGCUCUUUCGUCGAUUGCUCGAAAUUAACUAGCGCCGUUAAUCGCCUGAAAUCGAUGCAUCCCGAUGGGAGUACGUUCGCCAUACGAGCCGCGUGUGCGGCCACUUUAAUAGAGCUAGGACAAAUUUUAAGAUGCACGGUCGUGUAUCUGCGAGACGUGCGCCGAUCACUCGAACUGUCUUUCGUAUCGUGUCGCAAGACUGCGUCUAAAAUUAAAAAAAAAGAAAAAGCAAGUGGGGAAAAAGAGGGAGUGAGAGAGAAAAGAAAAAGGGAAAGUCGAGCUAACGUCAAACAAACGGAAACACCAGAAGAAAACAUACACGCUUUAGGGAAAAUAAAAACAAAGUAGAAAAGAGAGAAAGCGAGGCAAUAGUUGCGCGUUUCACGCGGUUAGUGGGAAACGGAGCGCGAGGACGAAGGACAACAGGAUCCUUGAUACAAGCCGCGUCCGCGAUUCGUUACUUUGCACGCGUGCUUUCCAAUUAGCAUGAGAACAAAGGAAAAUGAAAGGAAAAAUGUCAUGGAAAGCACGAAUCGCAAUUACUCUAGUCCUAAGUGGUCGGCGCGUGCACGAUGCGAAGAAUUGCACGGUUCUCGAGUGGUUGGACACGUUGUGUAUCUUUUCUUUUUUCUUCGUUCGUUUCUCGUAUUUUGUUUUAAAAAGUUGUGUCGUUGUAUCGCGUACCGUUUUACCAAAAUAUCGAGCAGCAAUGAAUCAGCAGCAACAGAAUAAGAAUGCAAACAACAAAUUGCGGCGCAAAAAACGAUUAACCUGAAGAGAAGUAAGAGGAUAACGCACGAUAUGGACAACAACAACAAAAACUAUCAAAAACAAUAAAGAGUAUUAUUCUAUAUAUAA